GACUGAACACCAGGAGCACCCUGAUGAGGUGACGUUAGACUGCUCUGUGGAGACAUAUAGCAGGCUGGUAGACCUCAGUGAAGGUGGCUGCUCAGGGUCGAGAUGUGGAUAAAAUUCAGCAGAGAUAUAAAGACAUCACAGCUCCUGCUGCCUCUGUGACAUUUCUGACUUCUCCUUAGUUACACAUCAGGUCUGAGUUAUUUACUUGUGGAAGUAACUAAUGGUUACACAGGAGAAGUUCAUCAGUUUCCCUUCAGCCCUCAGUCCUCAGGCGAGGACACAAAACCAGCAACAACUAAAAACAACUUAAACUCAGGUCUCUUGAGGCUCAUCCUGGUGUCUGUGGGGUUAGCGGCUCUCAUCAUCACCGUGGUUACAGUCAACAUAUGGAUAAGGGCUAAAGGGAGCAAAGCACAGACGGAAGAAAACAUGGUGAGUUUGAACAUUGAAUAAUUAAAUGUGUGUAUUAUUUGUUAUCCAACUUUAACAGUGGAU
This is a long non-coding RNA of Notothenia coriiceps (black rockcod), 495 nucleotides long. RefSeq lists it as uncharacterized. The record is from RefSeq and is a predicted model, not a curated record. NCBI's taxonomy places the organism in Eukaryota, Metazoa, Chordata, Actinopteri, Perciformes, Nototheniidae. The transcript has 4 exons.